RNAcentral lists this ribosomal RNA (253 nucleotides) under uncultured bacterium. Its description in RNAcentral is "partial 16S ribosomal RNA". It matches the Rfam family "Bacterial small subunit ribosomal RNA", at positions 524 to 776 of the family's 1533-position model. The record is from RNAcentral.
UACGUAGGGGGCGAGCGUUGUCCGGAGUUACUGGGCGUAAAGGGCUCGUAGGCGGCCAACUAAGUCCGACGUGAAAUCCCCAGGCUUAACCUGGGAACUGCGUCGGAUACUGGAUGGCUUGAAUUCGGGAGAGGGAUGCAGAAUUCCAGGUGUAGCGGUGAAAUGCGUAGAUAUCAGGAGGAACACCCAUGGCGAAGGCAGCUCCCUGGCUCGACCCUGACGCUGAGGCGCGAAAGCGUGGGGAGCGAACGGG